Molecule: ribosomal RNA, 497 nt
Filed under: uncultured bacterium
Lineage: Bacteria
Description: partial 16S ribosomal RNA
Rfam family: Bacterial small subunit ribosomal RNA
Source: RNAcentral
GAUGAACGCUGGCGGCGUGCCUAAUACAUGCAAGUCGAGCGAACAGACGAGGAGCUUGCUCCUCUGACGUUAGCGGCGGACGGGUGAGUAACACGUGGAUAACCUACCUAUAAGACUGGGAUAACUUCGGGAAACCGGAGCUAAUACCGGAUAAUAUAUUGAACCGCAUGGUUCAAUAGUGAAAGACGGUUUUGCUGUCACUUAUAGAUGGAUCCGCGCCGCAUUAGCUAGUUGGUAAGGUAACGGCUUACCAAGGCAACGAUGCGUAGCCGACCUGAGAGGGUGAUCGGCCACACUGGAACUGAGACACGGUCCAGACUCCUACGGGAGGCAGCAGUAGGGAAUCUUCCGCAAUGGGCGAAAGCCUGACGGAGCAACGCCGCGUGAGUGAUGAAGGUCUUCGGAUCGUAAAACUCUGUUAUUAGGGAAGAACAAAUGUGUAAGUAACUAUGCACGUCUAGACGGUACCUAAUCAGAAAGCCACGGCUAACUACGUG